GUAUUUUUUAUAAAUGUCGUGUUUUUUUGGUUGGAUCUGGAGUUAGGCAAUAAUCAUCAUUAUCAUCAUAAGAAACAUAAUUGGAGUUGUUAGAAUUAAGUAGUAGUGUCAAUGUGUUGUCAUAGGUGUAAAAAAAAUUGUGAAAAAAUAUAUUACUAACAAAAUAGUUGUUAUAUGUAUUAACAAAAAAAAUUUGUUAUACUACAAUCGUUUGGAAUAAAAUUUGUUAGAAAGGAACACAUAGGAGUUAAGUUAUGCAUACAUUGUAUAUGCAUACAUUUAUAUAUAUAUAAUAAUUUAUUCAUAUUUAUAUCAACAAAUAUUUUAUGAUUGUUAGUGUUAUAAGUUCGUGUUCGGCUUCUAUUUUUUUGUUUUUUAUAGCCAAUAUUGGUAUUAAUGUUAGAAUUAAUAGUAGUGGUUGUUUUACAACUAUUAUCACUACUACUGUUAUCACCAAUGUUAUUAGUAUUGUUUUUUUUUUUCUUUUCUUUAUCUGAUUGUAUAAAUAAAUCUGUGUCACUUUCUACCACAUGAUCAUUUGUAUAAUUAGUACUUCUUUUAAAAAAAAAUUUAUUACUUAUAGUACUAUUAACUGUUAUAUUUUUUGUUUUUUUUACCAUCACAUGCAUUAUAAUUAUUAAUAUUUCCUUCAUCUGUGUCACUAAAAAAGUAUAUACCUCCUUUAUUUUUUAGUUCGUUACAAAAUGGAACACGUUUUUCAUAAACACUACUACUGUUUGCACUACUCAAAUUAUCAUUAUUAUUAUUAUUAUCAUUUUUGUUUAAUAUAUUUAAUGCUUCUUUUUGGUAAUCCUCCUUAUGUUUGUCAUGGCGGUUAUAACCAUAUAGGUUAUAGGUUUUAUUCCUUUUAUUUCCAAACUCAUAAUGCAAGUUAUUAUAUGAUAUAUAAUUAAUAAAUUGACAUUUUUCAUUUAAUUUUUUCAAAUGCUCCAAAACAUUAACUUUUUUUAUUUUAUUUUUUUUAUGUAUAUAUAAUAAUGUACUGUUCUCAUUAUCUAUUUGUCCUUGUUCGAUUAUGUGUCUGUCUGCUAUGUUUGAGAAUAAUAGUGAUAGUGGUAAAACAUAUGGUAAUUUGUUGUGUUUGUUUUUUCCAUUACGUUUGCCACUACUUUUGUCACUACUUUUGCCACUACGUUUGCCACUACUUUUACCACUACUUUUGCCAUUACGUUUGCCACUACUUUUUCCACUACUUUUUCCAUUAUUUUUUCCAUUAUUUUUUCCAUUAUUUUUUCCAUUAUUUUUUCCAUUUUUUUUUCCAUUUUUUUUUAUAACAUUACUAGUAGUUAUCGGAUUUUUGUAAAGUAUAGGUUCUGUUUGUUGUAUGGUAUUAUUAACAUAACUAUUCAACUGAGAUUUUAUUUCUUGUAUAUUCAUAUUUUUUUACAUAAGAAUCUUUAACUUUACAACUUUGUAUUGUAUCAACAAUGAAUGUAUUGUCACUGGUAUCGUUUGUAUUUUCUUUAAGACCUAUACUUUUUAUAUUUUGUAUCACCUGACUUCCGUUAGUGUUAGUAUUAGUAUUAGUAUUAGUAUUAGUAUUAGUAUCAGUUGGCACGUAUGUACUACCUUCUUGUUGGGUACUAGCAAUAUGAGUAGAUAAUUGUUUAUUUGUGUUGACAUUACUUUUUCUUUCAUGUAUAGUAUUCCCUUUUUUUAUUUUCUAACGUAUUAUUUUUUAUUUGACUAUAGUAGUGAUUCAAAUUAUAGGUAGAAUUAUUUCCAACAAGUUUAGUAUAACAUUUAGUAUUUCCAAUAAGAAGGUUAUGAUGGUUGUAUUUUUUUUUUUUUUUUUUUUUUUAUAUUACUUUUAAUCCUUUUUAAAAUAUUAAUUUUGGAUGUAAAAGAAGAAAAAGUAUCAUCAUUUUUAGAAGGUUUAAAUAAAAAAUUUGUAUGAUUGAAUGUUAUUUUAUUU
Molecule: long non-coding RNA, 1936 nt
Filed under: Piliocolobus tephrosceles (Ugandan red Colobus)
Lineage: Eukaryota; Metazoa; Chordata; Mammalia; Primates; Cercopithecidae
Description: lncRNA (ENSPTEG00000005308.1)
Source: RNAcentral